CCUAGCGGACUCUCCCGGUCUCGCUGUCCGCGGCCCCGCCGCCGCCGCCGCCGCCAUGCUGAUGAACAAGUCGACCUCCUCGCCGGCGGCCUUGCGGUCCCCGUGGGUGCUCGGGAGGCCGGGCUCGUUCUCAGUGCAUUAAAUAGAAGAAGAAUGCCUAUAUGUUGCCGAAUUCCGAGAUGACGAGCUCGAAUUCCGAAGCCCCAUUGGCUCCGAUGGGAAGGAAGGGGAUCUAUCGGCUGUGCCAAGUCCAAGAAGGGGUAUAUCUGAAAGAAGAGCAGCCAGAUCUGAACGGCCAUCUGGUAGUGCUUGCUGGGCAUGCUUUUGUUGCUGUUAUGUUGAACUUCUGCAUGCCUUACAGAACACAAAGAAAACCAUGCAUGGAGGUGGAUUUGACUUCAAGAAAAAGAUUUACGAGUAUCACUUUAAAAACAGGCUGUAUGUUGGAAGGAACGCCCUCAAUGUAAGCUGCACGUUUGAAAUCUAAUAAAGAUAUAAGAUUGUUUGCUUAGUUAAUUAAGUAUGAUUUCCAAUCUUGGGAUCUGCCGUCUUA
Phoenix dactylifera (date palm) is the source of this 553-nucleotide long non-coding RNA. RefSeq lists it as uncharacterized. NCBI's taxonomy places the organism in Eukaryota, Viridiplantae, Streptophyta, Magnoliopsida, Arecales, Arecaceae. The record is from RefSeq and is a predicted model, not a curated record.